UAGGGAAUCUUCGGCAAUGGACGAAAGUCUGACCGAGCAACGCCGCGUGAGUGAAGAAGGUUUUCGGAUCGUAAAACUCUGUUGGUAGAGAAGAACGUUGGUGAGAGUGGAAAGCUUAUCAAGUGACGGUAACUACCCAGAAAGGGACGGCUAACUACGUGCCAG
This 165-nucleotide ribosomal RNA is filed under the name uncultured bacterium. RNAcentral's name for it is "partial 16S ribosomal RNA". It matches the Rfam family "Bacterial small subunit ribosomal RNA", at positions 355 to 511 of the family's 1533-position model. The record is from RNAcentral.